This is an RNA transcript of Oncorhynchus keta (chum salmon), 8114 nucleotides long. It is a transcript of the gene named disks large homolog 1-like, with no coding region annotated. The transcript is spliced from 29 exons. NCBI's taxonomy places the organism in Eukaryota, Metazoa, Chordata, Actinopteri, Salmoniformes, Salmonidae. The record is from RefSeq and is a predicted model, not a curated record.
UUCGGACGCCAUUUUGGAGGAAAGUUUGGAAUUCCUGAUACAUUGGUGGAAAGAAGGAGGAGGGGAGAGCGCCGAGCAAGGGAACUUUGACUUGUGGAAAUAUUGCCGGACCGAGAUAGAUAAAAGCUUGAGAGCGGGAAACGAAUAAUUCAGCACUCAGAAACAAAAAAGAGGAUUUACUCCCUAAAUGCACAGACUGAACUUUGUGGAUUCGUUACUCGCAGUUUCUUCUGCCACUUUGAACUGCACUGCACAUGUUGUCAGAUUUUCAGGCUGUUCAAUGAAUUGCACCGUGCAGAGCUGGGCUUGCUGAGAACCGGUUUGUUGAUGUUUAGUGUAAGAGAAUUGAUUGGAGAUACGAACGUGACACACGGCAGUAGUGUUUCACAUAGCUGUUAGUGGGAAACUGGUGCCGGGAAUCCUGCGCUGUCUCUACUGGCACUAACCUAAAUGAACCCUGUCAGUUAGCCCUGCCAGGGAUACAAGCUGGUCACAUUGGCAUUCACGGCGGGUCAUCUGAAUAGGCUUUAAUCUACCCAAAAAAAUCGGAUUCAUUGCAUGUUUAUAGUCCAGUAAGAAAAAACGGUGCCUUUUGUAGUCUAUUGAACGGGCGGGAGCUAUAGCGCACAUUGCGUUUUUUGAGGAGAGAAGAGACUAGUUUCUGUUCAUGCUAAAACGGUGUAAACUCCUGGCUCUGCCCCUCUGGCAACUGUAGCAAAGGAUAUCUGAAGCAAGGGAGUGUAGGCUACUACACCAAACAUUAGCCUGCACGAAACAGUGCCUGCGUCUACUUUUCCUGCUGCACUUGGGAGCUGUCAUGCCUAUACGAAAGAAAGAUGCUCAAAGAGCUUUACUGCUCAUGGAGGAAUACAAGACGAAACUUGGACAGACCGAAGACAGACAACUCAGACAGUCAUUAGAAAGACUCAUCAACAUCUUUCAGAGCAACCUCUUCCAAGCCUUGAUCGAUAUCCAGGAGUUUUAUGAAGUGACCUUACAGGAAGGCCAGACAUCUGUAGAGCCAGUCAAGCCUGCAGAGCCCCCAGCUCCCCCUGUCACCCUGUGGGACUUCUCCAGCCUUCCCUCCCCCUCUACAGCUGUCACCUCUGACACCCUGCCCAGCAGCCUUACGUCCAGCAUAGAGAAGUACAGGAUUCAGGAUGAGGAUGGUUCUACCCCCCAGCAGGACCAGGGUCAGUCUCAGGCCUGUCCCCAGCACCCCUACCCCAGCCUGGAGGAGAGAGGCAGAGAGCGGGAGCUGCCAGGGAGCCAUCACGGGACCCUCCGCAGCCACCAUGGAGGGGGAACCCUGGAUGGGUACCACCUCGGCAGGGGAGAGAGAGAGGGCAGGGGGGAGGGACGGCCAGAGCUGGUCCAGGUAGCGGAGAAAAACCUGUCUCAGAUAGAGAACGUCCAUGGAUAUGUCUCCCACGCACACAUCUCCCCUAUGAAGGUAGAGUCGUUGGAGUGUAUCUUCGACGCUGGCUCGCCUGUAGGCUAUGAGGACGUUCCUGUUCCUGACUUCUCUACGCUGUAUGCUACCCACCACGCCCUUCUACAGCAGCCAGAUGUGGUGGUCCCGCCCCCCGUACCCAUAAUCCCUGUGAUCCCCAUCCCAGCUGAGACCACUCCUGUCAUCUCUCCACCCUCCUCUCUGCCUGCACCCGCGUCACCCACGUCACAGGCAAACCCACCUCCUGUGGUGGUCAACACAGACAGCUUGGACAGCCCCCCAUACGCGAAUGGAUCUGAAGCUGAUUAUGAAUAUGAUGAGAUCACACUGGAACGGGGUAACUCUGGGUUGGGCUUCAGUAUUGCAGGGGGGACAGAUAACCCCCACAUCGGCGAAGACCCCAGUAUCUUCAUCACCAAGAUUAUCCCUGGGGGAGCUGCAGCUCAGGACGAACGCCUCAGAGUGAAUGACUGCAUCCUGAGAGUGAACGAGGCCGACGUGAGGGAUGUGACCCACAGUAAGGCUGUGGAGGCCCUGAAGGAGGCCGGCUGUAUCGUCAGGCUCUACAUCCGCAGGAGAAAAGCCCUCUCGGAGAAGAUCCUGGAGCUCAAACUAGUCAAAGGUCCCAAAGGGCUAGGAUUCAGUAUUGCGGGGGGAGUAGGGAACCAGCACAUUCCAGGAGACAACAGCAUCUAUGUCACCAAGGUCAUCGAGGGAGGGGCUGCACACAAAGACCAGAGGCUGCAGAUAGGAGACAAACUAUUGGCUGUAAACAGCGCUUGCCUUGAGGAAGUGAGUCACGAGGAUGCCGUGGCAGCCUUGAAAAACACCCCUGAUGUGGUUUACUUGAAAGUGGCGAAGCCCACCAGUGUCUUCAUGAACGACAGUUUCGCUCCCCCCGACAUCACCAACUCGUAUUCCCCUCACAUGGACAACCAUAUCAGCCCUUCCAACUACCUGAGCCGGCCCCAUACCCCCGCCACGCCUGGACACUACUCCCCCGUCCCCAAGAGCAUGCUAGGAGACGACGAGGUGACAAGGGAGCCCAGGAAGGUGGUGUUGCACCGUGGUUCUACAGGCCUGGGUUUUAACAUCGUAGGAGGAGAGGAUGGAGAGGGAAUCUUUAUCUCCUUCAUCCUGGCUGGUGGACCUGCUGACCUCUGUGGAGAGCUGCGCAAAGGAGACCGCAUCAUCUCAGUGAACGGGGUCGACCUGCGCAGUGCAACCCAUGAGCAGGCUGCAGCAGCUCUGAAGAAUGCUGGACAGACUGUUACCAUCACAGGCCAGUACAGGCCAGAGGAGUACAGUCGGUUUGAAGCCAAAAUCCUUUCCCCCCCCUCCUGUUUUCCAGAGUACAGUCGGUUUGAAGCCAAGAUCCAUGAUCUACGUGAGCAGAUGAUGAACAGCAGUAUCAGCAGUGGCUCUCUGCGGACCAGCCAGAAGAGAACUCUCUAUGUCAGGGCUCUGUUUGACUAUGACCGGGCGAAGGACUCGGGGCUGCCCAGCCAGGGGCUCAACUUCCACUUUGGAGACAUCCUGCAUGUGGUGAAUGCCUCCGAUGACGAGUGGUGGCAGGCACGGCAGGUGACCCAUGAAGGAGAGGUGGAAGAGGUUGGAGUCAUCCCCAGCAGGAGGAGGGUCGAAAAGAAAGAGAGAGCGCGGUUAAAGACAGUCAAAUUCAACGCCCGGUCUCAAGACAAAGUGCAGUCAUUCAAUGACAAGCGUAAAAAGAACCUAUUUUCCCGAAAGUUCCCUUUCUACAACAAGAGCAAGGAGCACAGCGAACAGGAAACGAGCGAUGCUGACCAGCAUGUUACCUCUAACGCCAGUGAUAGUGAAAGUAGUUACCGUGGCCAGGAGGAGUACGUCCUGUCCUACGAGCCAAUCACACAGCAGGAAGUGAACUACACACGUCCUGUCAUCAUCCUGGGGCCAAUGAAAGACCGCAUCAAUGAUGACCUCAUCUCAGAGUUCCCCGACAAAUUUGGGUCCUGUGUCCCACACACGACGAGACCGAAGCGGGAUUACGAGGUGGAUGCCAGAGACUACCAUUUUGUGGUGUCCAGGGAGCAGAUGGAGAAAGAUAUCCAGGACCACAAGUUCAUUGAGGCGGGCCAGUACAACAACCACCUAUAUGGAACCAGCGUCCAGUCUGUACGGGAGGUCGCUGAGAAGGGGAAGCAUUGCAUCCUGGAUGUUUCAGGCAACGCCAUCAAGCGAUUGCAAUCGACCAUGCUCUACCCCAUCGCUAUUUUCAUCAAGCCCAAGUCUGUGGAGAAUAUCCUGUAAGUUAUUUUGAUUCAACAAAUUCCUUUUCAUAUUAAGAGGCCAAAGUCUUCUGCCCUACGGGAUGGUGGAUAUUAAGAGGUAAAGACUAUUGCCCUAGGGGAUGGUGGAUAUUAAGAGGUAAAGUCUAUUGCCCUAGGGGAUGGUGGAUAUUAAGAGGUAAAGUCUAUUGCCCUAGGGGAUGGUGGGUAUUAAGAGGCCAAAGUCUAUUGCCCUAGGGGAUGGUGGAUAUUAAGAGGUAAAGUCUAUUGCCCUAGGGGAUGGUGGGUAUUAAGAGGUCAAAGUCUAUUGCCCUAGGGGAUGGUGGAUAUUAAGAGGUAAAGUCUAUUGCCCUAGGGGAUGGUGGGUAUUAAGAGGCCAAAGUCUAUUGCCCUAGGGGAUGGUGGGUAUUAAGAGGCCAAAGUCUAUUGCCCUAGGGGAUGGUGGGUAUUAAGAGGCCAAAGUCUAUUGCCCUAGGGGAUGGUGGGUAUUAAGAGGCCAAAGUCUAUUGCCCUAGGGGAUGGUGGGUAUUAAGAGGCCAAAGUCUAUUGCCCUAGGGGAUGGUGGGUAUUAAGAGGCCAAAGUCUAUUGCCCUAGGGGAUGGUGGGUAUUAAGAGGUCAAAGUCUUCUGCCCUAGGGGAUGGUGGAUAUUAAGAGGUAAAGUCUAUUGCCCUAGGGGAUGGUGGGUAUUAAGAGGUCAAAGUCUUCUGCCCUAGGGGAUGGUGGAUAUUAAGAGGUAAAGUCUAUUGCCCUAGGGGAUGGUGGGUAUUAAGAGGUCAAAGUCUAUUGCCCUAGGGGAUGGUGGAUAUUAAGAGGUAAAGUCUAUUGCCCUAUGGGAUGGUGGGUAUUAAUAGGUCAAAGUCUUCUGCCCUAGGGGAUGGUGGGUAUUAAUAGGUCAAAGUCUUCUGCCCUAGGGGAUGGUGGGUAUUAAUAGGCCAAAGUCUUCUGCCCUAGGGGAUGGUGGGUAUUAAUAGGUCAAAGUCUUCUGCCCUAGGGGAUGGUGGGUAUUAAUAGGCCAAAGUCUUCUGCCCUAGGGGAUGGUGGGUAUUAAUAGGUCAAAGUCUUCUGCCCUAGGGGAUGGUGGGUAUUAAUAGGCCAAAGUCUUCUGCCCUAGGGGAUGGUGGGUAUUAAUAGGCCAAAGUCUUCUGCCCUAGGGGAUGGUGGGUAUUAAUAGGUCAAAGUCUUCUGCCCUAGGGGAUGGUGGGUAUUAAUAGGUCAAAGUCUUCUGCCCUAGGGGAUGGUGGGUAUUAAUAGGCCAAAGUCUUCUGCCCUAGGGGAUGGUGGGUAUUAAUAGGCCAAAGUCUUCUGCCCUAGGGGAUGGUGGGUAUUAAUAGGUCAAAGUCUUCUGCCCUAGGGGAUGGUGGGUAUUAAUAGGUCAAAGUCUUCUGCCCUAGGGGAUGGUGGGUAUUAAUAGGCCAAAGUCUUCUGCCCUAGGGGAUGGUGGGUAUUAAUAGGUCAAAGUCUUCUGCCCUAGGGGAUGGUGGGUAUUAAUAGGUCAAAGUCUUCUGCCCUAGGGGAUGGUGGGUAUUAAUAGGUCAAAGUCUUCUGCCCUAGGGGAUGGUGGGUAUUAAUAGGUCAAAGUCUUCUGCCCUAGGGGAUGGUGGGUAUUAAUAGGCCAAAGUCUUCUGCCCUAGGGGAUGGUGGGUAUUAAUAGGCCAAAGUCUUCUGCCCUAGGGGAUGGUGGGUAUUAAUAGGUCAAAGUCUUCUGCCCUAGGGGAUGGUGGGUAUUAAUAGGUCAAAGUCUUCUGCCCUAGGGGAUGGUGGGUAUUAAUAGGCCAAAGUCUUCUGCCCUAGGGGAUGGUGGGUAUUAAUAGGCCAAAGUCUUCUGCCCUAGGGGAUGGUGGGUAUUAAUAGGCCAAAGUCUUCUGCCCUAGGGGAUGGUGGGUAUUAAUAGGCCAAAGUCUUCUGCCCUAGGGGAUGGUGGGUAUUAAUAGGCCAAAGUCUUCUGCCCUAGGGGAUGGUGGGUAUUAAUAGGCCAAAGUCUUCUGCCCUAGGGGAUGGUGGGUAUUAAUAGGCCAAAGUCUUCUGCCCUAGGGGAUGGUGGGUAUUAAUAGGCCAAAGUCUUCUGCCCUAGGGGAUGGUGGGUAUUAAUAGGUCAAAGUCUUCUGCCCUAGGGGAUGGUGGGUAUUAAUAGGUCAAAGUCUUCUGCCCUAGGGGAUGGUGGAAAGUAUUCAGACCCCUGGACUUUUUCCACAUUUUAUUACGUUACAGCCAUAUUAUAAAAUGCAUUUGUUUUUUUCCUCAUCAAUCUACACACAAUGACCCAUCAUGACAAAGCAAAAACGGGUUAUUAGCCAUUUUUGCUCAUUUCUAAAAAAUAAAACACUGAAAUAUGACAUUUGCAUAAUUAUUCAGACCCUUUAUUCAGUACUUUGUUGAAGCACCUUUGGCAGUGAUUACAGCCUUGAGUCUUCUUGGGUAUGACGCAACAAGCUUGGCACACCUGUAUUUGGGGAGUUUCUCCCAUUCGUAUGUGCAGAUCCUCUCAAGCUCUGUCAGGUUGGAUUGGAAGGGUUGCUGCACAGCUAUUUUCAGGUCUCAAGUCUGGUCUCUGGCUGGACCACUCAAUAACAAUCAGGGACUUGUCCCGAAGCCAUUCGUGCGUAAUCUUGGCUGUGUGCUUAGGGUUGUUGUCCUGUUGGAAAGUGAACCUUUGCCCCAGUCUGAGGUCCUGAGCGCUCUGGAGCAGGUUUUCAUCGAGGAUCUCUCUGUACUUUGCUCCGUUCAUCUCAUCUUUGCCUCAAUCCUGACUAGUCUCCAAGUCCUUGCCCCACAGCAUGAGGCUGCCACCACCAUGCUUCACCUUAGGGAUGGUGCCAGGUUUCUUCCAGACAUGACGUUUGGCAUUCAGGCCAAAGAAUCUUGGUUUUAUCAGACCAGAGAAUCUUGUUUCUUAUGGUCUGAGAGUCUUUAGGUGCCUUUUGGCAAACUCCAAGUGGGCUGUCAUGUGCCUUUUACUGAGGAGUGGCUUCCGUCUGGCCACUCUACCAUAAAGGCCUGAUUGGUAGAGUGCUGCAGAGAUGGUUGUCCUUCUGGAAGGUUCUCCCAUCUCCACAGAGGACCUCUGUAGCGCUGUCUUUUUAGAAUAAAGUUAUAACGUAACAAAAUGUGGAAAAAGUCAAGGAGUCUGAAUACUUUCCAAAGACACUAUAUACACUGUAUACAGGGCAACAUCUUAGUCAUCCUCUCCCUGUCUCUCUCUCCUUCUCGCCCUCUCACUCUCCUCCAUCUCUCGCUCUGUCCCUCUCAUUCUCUUUCUCUCCUGCCUCUCCCUGUCUCUCUCUCCUUCUCGCCCUCUCACUCUCCUCCAUCUCUUGCUUUGUCCCUCUCAUUCUCUCUCUCCCUCUUUCUCUCCUGCCUCUCUCCCUGUCUCUCUCCUCUUUCUCCUUCUCAUACUCUCUUUCUUUCUUUCUCUCUCUCGCCUCUCUCCCUCUUUCUCUCUCCCUCUUUCUUUCUCUCUCUCGCCUCUCUCCCUCUCUCUCUCCUCUAUCUCCUUCUCGCUCUCUUUCUCUCUGUGUCGCUCCCUCUCUCUCUGUCUUUCUCCUUCUCACCCUCUCUCUCUCCCUGUCUCUCCUCUUUCUCCUUCUCAUCCUCUCUUUCUCCCUGUCUCUCCUCUUUCUCCUUCUCAUACUCUCUCCCUCUACUCUCUCACUCUUUCUUUCUCUCUCUCGCCUCUCUCUCUCCUUCUCGCUCUCUUUCUCUCUGUAUCUCUCUCUCUCUCUCUCUAGGGAGAUGAAUAAGAGGCUAACAGAGGACCAGGGGAGGAAGACGUUCGACCGAGCCAUGAAGCUGGAGCAGGAGUUCACUGAGCACUUCACUGCUAUCGUCCAGGGGGACUCUCUGGAGGAGAUUUAUAACGCGGUGAAGAGGAUCAUCGAGGAGCAGUCAGGACCCUUCAUCUGGGUGCCUGCCAAGGACAAGUUGUGAAGGAAGAGAAACAGAAGAGAUGACCUUUUUUUUUGCCGUCCUCGUUUUCUUCUUUGAUUUUACGUCUAAUGUUAUGCCCUGAGCAUAGGACCCCCCCUCCCAUUCACUUAUACCCCCCCGCGCCGCCCUGCUCCCCUCUGUCACACUGGCUGGUGUCGUUACAUUAGUGUCUGGGGAUCUGAUCACGCAUAGACCCACAUACACACACACACAAUUCUUUAAUGCUUUCUCUAUCACACAUUCGCUCUCUCUCUCGCUCACUCUCUCUCACGCUCUCUCUCGCUCGCUCUCUCUUCUCUCUCUCUCGUGUUUUCUUGGGCUGUCCUUGUAUCUGGGUGUUUUUCCUGCUAAGGAGGUACGGGCUUUGGCAACCAGCGUCUUAUGGGGAGAUUUUUAUGGUACAAGUCCUUAAUGUUUAAGGAACAUGAUUUAGAUGCAUAUAUAUACAAAUAAUAAAUCAUUUCUUGUA